Molecule: long non-coding RNA, 247 nt
Filed under: Mytilus galloprovincialis (Mediterranean mussel)
Lineage: Eukaryota; Metazoa; Mollusca; Bivalvia; Mytilida; Mytilidae
Source: RNAcentral
UGAUAAUUUACUUUUUAAAAUUUAUUAAAACUGCAAGUUGUUAAUUACCGUGUCAUAGUUUGGUUUACCAGUGAUUAAAAAUCAAUAGGAUUAAGUACGGAGAUAUUGCCCGUAGGUAAUAUUGUUUAUGACAGGAACAUUUAUUUUCACACCUUAUACUUAUAUCACUGUUUAUUAUAUCGUGAUUAGGGAAAUGAGCUUUCAAUCAUAAAGUUUUGAAUGCCUUAUAGAAUUCAGACAAGAAUUU